This 255-nucleotide ribosomal RNA is filed under the name uncultured Streptobacillus sp. RNAcentral describes it as "partial 16S ribosomal RNA". It matches the Rfam family "Bacterial small subunit ribosomal RNA", at positions 68 to 318 of the family's 1533-position model. Lineage: Bacteria; Fusobacteriati; Fusobacteriota; Fusobacteriia; Fusobacteriales; Leptotrichiaceae. The record is from RNAcentral.
GUUAAUUAAAUAAGCUUGCUUAAUUAAGAGACAUGGUGGACUGGUGAGUAACGUGUAAAGAACUUACCUCUUAGACUGGGAUAACCGUUGGAGACGACGGAUAAUACUAGAUAUUAUUAGAGUAGGGCAUCCUACAUUAAUGAAAGAGAGAUCACUAAGAGAGAGCUUUGCAUCCUAUUAGCUAGUUGGUGGGGUAAAGGCCUACCAAGGCGAUGAUAGGUAGCCGGCCCGAGAGGGUGAACGGCCACAAGGGGA